CGGAUUGCCACACAGCGCAAGGUGAGCCCUUAGAUUCUCUCCAAUUUCUUUUAAGUAAGGGGUGUGAUAGAAUUAAGUAAGAUGUGGUAGAAUUUGGAGGGAUGAAUCAAGGAGUGAUUUCUCAUUGAAGUUAUUCCUUGUUUAGCUAGGCAUGAGAUGCCUAUAAAAGGAGGGGUGGCGUGGGACAUUAGAGAGCAUUGGAUGCAUUGGAGCUCUCUUGAUUUCGGCCGCCCCACCAUCUUCCUCUUCUUCCUCCAGUCGUGAGCAAGAAAGAAGAGCUGGUCUUCUUCUUCUUCCUCCUUCUCAAAGCGGUCAAAGGGUUGAUUGAAGAAAGAGGAAAUCAGCUAUCAAAGGUGAUCUCUGCAAGGGAGCUAGCACCCCGGUGAGAUCUUGGAGCGAUCUAUACCUCGUAUGGAUACCUGUAGAGGCCAGACGCUUGUGCGGCUUCAAGCGAACCAAAUUCAACCAUCAUCAGAUGGCGGUGAAGAUCUACCCACUCAAAGGUAAAGAUAUGAUUUUUAUAAAUUUGAAUAGUAGAUCUGAAAUUAAUCAAGUUAAUAAUUUUAAUCUUUCCUUUAGAUUUCAUAAUUUUCUGAGUUAGAGAACUUAAGAAAAUUUUUGAAAUCUACGUUUUCUAGGACGUUCAUGAGAUGAACGACCCCGUGCGUAUCUUUCCGCUGCAAUCGUUGCAACGCGUGCGGGGGUAACCCGACAAACCGAUCAUCCAAGAACUCACCGAUCUCAAAAUCAAAGUGCACAGACUUCUCAUCCACUGGCUCCAAUGGUUCUAUAGUUCUCUUUCCUUUUCCUUUGUAAUUGAUUAAUUAACGAGCAAAUGAUUGGAUUUGAAUUUUAUUUUAUAAGAAUGAACAAGCGUAAGAAGUAUACUUGUUCGCCAAGCGUAAAUAAAUGAUUACCUGCUAGAUGUAAGUUCCAGGUCAUCUGGUAAUCCCAUCUUUGCUCAAAAUUCUUAGUGUACUAAUCAGCAUGCCUCGGAUCUGCCUAUCUGGCUUUAGUAGUCCUCGUCAUAUGAUACAGAAAACCUAUUUGAGGGUAUCUUUCACUAUCCAUGGCCCUGAGCACUUAAUAUAAUGGUGCAAUAGUCUUAACUAUUUUCUUGGCCUCCUUCCAAACUGCUGGCUUGUCGCUAAGCCUUUCAUGUGACUGCCCUCCAUGCCACUAUGAGCAUAUAUACUCUUUGGCCGCUCAACUCUCACAAAUAUCUAACAGGGGUAUGCCUUCUUUUCAAUAAAGGUAUCGAGUAUACUAUAGUACACGAUAAAGCGGAUGAUUGUUGGCCUUAAUAUCUCACCUUAGUGCGCUUUCUCAUUAAAGAUAAAACCCAUGUGUGGUUAUAUAUGGACUUUGUAAAGGGCUAGUUGUCUCCAUAACCUGCUUUACCCUAUAAUCUUGCCAUCCAUCAAAACCAAGUUUAUAUAGUAGGCAGCACAUGGGGUCUAAAAAAAAUAUGUAACCUAAUCAUCAGAAUCUCCCAGGUAGUCUUAUAUUAUGGUCCAUUAUUCGUAACCACCUGCACAGUAUGAUGCUCCCUUAUAUGAUCAAUUACUUCAUCAAGCUAAGGAUGUCAUUGGAUGUUGUGCAUUUUUUUUGAAGCAUCAACAGACUUAUGGAAAAAAAAAUUAUCACAAUAUGUCAAGAAAUUAAUGAUGCUUCACUUGCUAGGCCUCGUCCAACCAAUUAGAUGUUAGAGUCACACCAUAGGUGUACCAUUUACUCUAAUAGGAAGCUAUCUAUCUCGCGAGCUUCUUUUUAUUGUCCAGCAACUCACCAUACAUGUCUUUAGUCCAAUAGGAUCUACAUCCUGACUGGCUCUCUGAAUGGUGUCGAUAACAUAUCGGUAAUACGUAUUGUCUACGGCAUUGGCAAGGAUGUGGCCGAAGUUAAACCAAAAAGUAAUAACUCUCCAUGUACCCUUUUCUUAUCCUUUACAAGCAUAGUAUCAAUCCUUUACUGCUUAAAAUCUCUGAUAAAAAUGGCAUGUAGAGCUACAUCAUGAAUGGUGGCCCUUUCUGGUAUAUCUCUGAACUUCUUUUUCUUUUUCUUACCAAAGGUCCCAAACAUAGAUGCAAUUCUGCUGCCACAUUUUCCUACAAUCUCUCUGCUUCCUGGAUCUAUGCUAGCAAACUUAGAACCAGAACCUCUCAAACUAUGAGGGCCUAAAUCGAGACUUGUGACCAGCAACCUCCUCCUUGUGCCACUAAUCAUUUAGAUUCUCCCAUAUGUAGCCCGAAUCUGCAUCUCUUCCAUGUUAUCUAUAUUCAACAUCUCAUGAUCCUCUAGAUCCUUGGAGUAGUAUGGAUAUGGCUCAGCGGCAUGACGUUUGAUCCCUACUCUUUUCUCAGCAUUUCUACGCUUGCUCUCCUUAAAAUCAGUGAAGUGCUUUUUAAACAUCUUGCAGACAUCCUGUGAACAUUUGCUAUAAGCAGCCACAUCGUGGUAACCACCGGACCGAUUUUGCUUUAAUCUCGACUCUGCAUCACACAACUUGCACCUCCAAUGGUGCCUGCCCGAAAUCAUCACCCAUGCUCCCAGUCUAUGGCAUGU
RNAcentral lists this long non-coding RNA (2565 nucleotides) under Phoenix dactylifera (date palm). RNAcentral's name for it is "long non-coding RNA (PDAC_LNC002023)". Lineage: Eukaryota; Viridiplantae; Streptophyta; Magnoliopsida; Arecales; Arecaceae. The record is from RNAcentral.